This 405-nucleotide ribosomal RNA is filed under the name Vireo olivaceus (red-eyed vireo). RNAcentral's name for it is "partial 16S ribosomal RNA". It matches the Rfam family "Bacterial large subunit ribosomal RNA", at positions 1930 to 2498 of the family's 2925-position model. The record is from RNAcentral. Lineage: Eukaryota; Metazoa; Chordata; Aves; Passeriformes; Vireonidae.
GCCGCGGUAUCCUAACCGUGCAAAGGUAGCGCAAUCAAUUGUCCCAUAAAUCGAGACUAGUAUGAAUGGCUAAACGAGGUCUUAACUGUCUCUUACAGGCAAUCGGUGAAAUUGAUCUCCCUGUGCAAAAGCAGGGAUAACAACAUAAGACGAGAAGACCCUGUGGAACUUCAAAAUCAGCAGCCACCCCAUAACACAUUCACACCCACCGGGUACACGCACCUAUGAGCAACUGGCCUGCAUUUUUUGGUUGGGGCGACCUUGGAGAAAAACAAAUCCUCCAAAAAUUGGACCAUACAUCUAGACUAAGAGCAACCUCUCAAAGUGCUAAUAGCAACCAGAUCCAAUAUAAUUGAUCAAUGGACCAAGCUACCCCAGGGAUAACAGCGCAAUCUCCUCCGAGAG